UCAAAGAAAAUUGUUCUCUAAAAACAAAUUCUCUUUUCAGUUUUGGUUUCCACAGAACCAAAAUCUCAACUCAAAGAAUAGGGAGGUCUUCAAGUGGUGGUUCUCCAAAACUGGCGUUUUGUAGAUACAAAGUUGUCAACAAGAGUGAGUACUUCUUUUCUCUUCUUUUUUUUUUUAUGUAACAUGUUUAGCCAUAAAAAAAUUGUUUAUGUACUUUUGUCAGUGCAGGGUAUUUAUAAGAUCCCAAUUAAUUUGAGCUAUGGUUCUGUUAGUUAUUUCGCUAGCUCCUAUCCCUUCAAAUAACAAUAUACCAACAUGCUUCUUUUCACCCAUACUCAUUUUAAAGUUACAUUUUCUUCUCCAUUUCGCAACCCCUUCGCAUAUCUUGAAUUACAUAUAUGGAGGUGAGUUUUUAAAGAACUCCUAACGCAGCAAGAUCUAUGUCAGGAGUUCUCCAAUAACUCCCAAUGCCACCACCAAAAGCAUAAGAAGUUCUCCUAUAACUCCCAUCACUUUGUUGGCGGGAGAUCCCCUAUAUUUUUCGACGCAUGCCAUGAAGCGUCGGGAAAUCGAGUAUUUUCUAACGCUUAGGUGAUUGUGUCGGGAGAUACCAUAUCUCUCUCGACGUCGACAGUGUAAACCGACGUUAGAAGAUUCAUAAUUUAUUUCUUGCAGUGAUGUUACGUUAAUAAAUUAAACAUAGGAUUUUAAAUGUUUUUAUAGUGAGAGUUAUAGACUUAGAUUACCAUGAUAAUCUUGUAAAUAUGAUUGAUAUGUUGUAUUGAAAAAGCAACCAAGUGUGAUGUAUAAUAUACAAAAAAGAAAAAAAAAUGAAUUUUAUGUUUGUUUCAAGUUCCAAGUUUCAAAUAAGUUUUUUUCCCUCUCAAGUAUUCUAUUUAGUGAUUAUUUAGUUGGAGUGUCCAUCACACACUUUCAACAAUCUUUUCUAUGAUUUUUUAUAUCUAUUUAGUUCUUUUAGAGUAUGAUAUGCUCAACAAUACAUGGGUGUAAUGAUCUCUUACACAUAUUAGAUUGAAAGCAAUCGAGGACAACCCAGAAAAGGGCCAAAUGAUCAAACCUACUAGAGACCUGCCCCAUCAUCCAACACAGUUGAUAUCGGAGCACCAAGAUAGGAUAAUAGAUGUGAAUUUUUUUUUUUUUCAUAUUUAUAAUAUAAAAUGAUGAAAAGGAGAAUAGAGAUGACGAAGCGAAAAUAAUAAUAUGUAGAUUCAAAAUUCUGAAAUACGAGUUUAUUUAAUCCCACUAAAUCCUUGUAAGCGAUCUUUGUGGGUCAGGUUGGAAAAACUUUUUUAUGUAAUUAAUGAAAUUAAAAGAGGAAAGAAAAGAAGAAGAAAAAGUUGAAAAGACAAUGAAGGAAAAAAAAAGCAUCGGAUGCAACGUGUAC
This 1405-nucleotide long non-coding RNA is filed under the name Cucumis sativus (cucumber). RNAcentral's name for it is "long non-coding RNA (CSAT_LNC000606)". Lineage: Eukaryota; Viridiplantae; Streptophyta; Magnoliopsida; Cucurbitales; Cucurbitaceae. The record is from RNAcentral.